RNAcentral lists this ribosomal RNA (822 nucleotides) under Pseudomonas sp. 3Sp5. RNAcentral describes it as "bacterial SSU rRNA". It matches the Rfam family "Bacterial small subunit ribosomal RNA", at positions 89 to 866 of the family's 1533-position model. The record is from RNAcentral. Lineage: Bacteria; Pseudomonadati; Pseudomonadota; Gammaproteobacteria; Pseudomonadales; Pseudomonadaceae.
UGAAGGCGGGGGAACGGGGGAGGAAAAUCCCAAAGGAAUUUGGCCUGGGAAGGGGGGAUAAAGGUUUGGAANGGANGGUAAUACCGCAAAAGGUCNUAACGGAGGAAAGCAGGGGACCUUUGGGGCCCUGGGGGGUAUUAGGAAGAGGCNUAGGGUUCGGAANUAGGCUAGUUGGGGUGAGGGUAAUGGGGCUCACCCAAGGNGGAACGAAUCCCGUAAGGUGGUGGGGAGGAGGAGGUAUCUGUUAUUCAUUGGAACUGAGACACGGUCCAGACUCCUACGGGAGGCAGCAGUGGGGAAUAUUGGACAAUGGGCGAAAGCCUGAUCCAGCCAUGCCGCGUGUGUGAAGAAGGUCUUCGGAUUGUAAAGCACUUUAAGUUGGGAGGAAGGGCAUUAACCUAAUACGUUAGUGUUUUGACGUUACCGACAGAAUAAGCACCGGCUAACUCUGUGCCAGCAGCCGCGGUAAUACAGAGGGUGAACAAAGACGUUAAUCGGAAUUACUGGGCGUAAAGCGCGCGUAGGUGGUUUGUUAAGUUGGAUGUGAAAUCCCCGGGCUCAACCUGGGAACUGCAUUCUAAAACUGACUGACUAGAGUAUGGUAGAGGGUGGUGGAAUUUCCUGUGUAGCGGUGAAAUGCGUAGAUAUAGGAAGGAACACCAGUGGCGAAGGCGACCACCUGGACUAAUACUGACACUGAGGUGCGAAAGCGUGGGGAGCAAACAGGAUUAGAUACCCUGAAUAGUCCACGCCGUAAACGAUGUCAACUAGCCGUUGGAUAGCCUUGAGCUCCUUUAGUGGCGCAGCUAACGCAUUCAAGUU